GACCCCGUAGCUCAGUUGGAUAGAGCGUUGGUUUCCUAAACCGAAGGCCGUGCGUUCGAUUCGCACCGGGGUCG
RNAcentral lists this transfer RNA (74 nucleotides) under Archangium sp. RNAcentral describes it as "tRNA-Arg". It matches the Rfam family "tRNA". Rfam says of the family: Transfer RNA (tRNA) molecules are approximately 80 nucleotides in length. Their secondary structure includes four short double-helical elements and three loops (D, anti-codon, and T loops). The record is from RNAcentral. Lineage: Bacteria; Pseudomonadati; Myxococcota; Myxococcia; Myxococcales; Archangiaceae.